GUCUGCAACUCGACUACAUGAAGCUGGAAUCGCUAGUAAUCGCAGAUCAGAAUGCUGCGGUGAAUACGUUCCCGGGUCUUGUACACACCGCCCGUCACACCAUGGGAGUCGGAACACCCGAAGUCCGUAGCCUAACCGCAAGGGGGGCGCGGCCGAAGGUGGGUUCGAUAAUUGGGGUGAAGUCGUAACAAGGUAGC
RNAcentral lists this ribosomal RNA (197 nucleotides) under uncultured bacterium. RNAcentral's name for it is "partial 16S ribosomal RNA". It matches the Rfam family "Bacterial small subunit ribosomal RNA", at positions 1303 to 1500 of the family's 1533-position model. The record is from RNAcentral.